RNAcentral lists this long non-coding RNA (3777 nucleotides) under Mytilus galloprovincialis (Mediterranean mussel). The record is from RNAcentral. Lineage: Eukaryota; Metazoa; Mollusca; Bivalvia; Mytilida; Mytilidae.
GAAAUGCAAUUGCAGAAGUUUUGAAACAUGUAAUAGCAGAACUGGAGAAUGCAAUGAUGAUAAGUCCACAGAAUCAAAUAGAGGUACCUCUCUUUUACUUUAACAUUAAGUAACUACUUACAUUUAGACUGUUCUGUUAAGUCUUAUUUUUGUCUGGUGUCUAUGAUGAUAUUUUUUUUAAACUGUGUCAUUUUAACCAGCAGACGUCUCGGUUAAAUAUUUAAUAUCAGUGCGUCACAUCAACAACUGUAAUUUAUAUGUCGUGUACAAGUUGUAAUUGUGUACAUGUUAUAUCAUGUACAAAUUAAUGUACAUGUUGUUACUUCUACAAUGGAAAAAUAUAAGUUAUGAAAUGUACAAAAGUACUUCGUAUUUGUUAUAACAUUCACAAAUUUUGCUUAAAAUGGAUUUGACUUGUACCAAAUUUGAAAAUAAAUAUAAUUAAAGCAGAAAAUACGUUUGAAUUUUACCGAGAGAACAAAAAUCAAAAGCUCAGAACGGGUUUUGUUUAGAGCACAAUGAUCACAAAGUUAAGGAAAUCUUGUUAUUGAUUCACGGCUUAUGUUGAAGUGUUGGUUUUCUUGUCAUUGUAUUUAGAUGCAGUCCACCAUGACCUACGUACAGCAGUGUGACUUGUUUUAUAAUUUUAUACAUUUCCUUUAUGAAAACAAAAAAGAUAAAUGGGGCAUCUGAAAGGUUUAAAAAUACUGCCUUUUAAUGUUUGUUUAUACCCCUCCCAUUCUUUUUUUUAAACAUGCAACAUUAAAGCAAAGUAUCCUAUGCAAACUCAAUAAAAGCCAUACAGAGAAAAUGGUUUUCAUUGGACCUCGUUUGAUUAUAAAUAACUUGAAAAUAAUAGAAACUGCUCUUCAAUAUUUUUGGCCUUGGGCAUAAAUCUGAUACAUCGAAUUCUUAUUUUUUCUAAUUAAUGAGAGCAUUGUAUGAGUCUAAUGUCAUUUUGAUGAAAAUUUGUAUGCUUAACUUUGAAAACAGGGUAUAGCUUGUAGAUAAAUUUGCCUUGACAUAUCAAGGAUUUGAUUGUAGAAUCUACCCUGGCUAUCCUCUUGCAUCUACGUCUCAACUAGUUUGAAAGUAUUUUACUUUUGACUUCAAAGUGGAAACUAACAAUUAUAUUUAUCAAGUGAGAAUACUGAAAAGUAUUUGUAUACUGCGUGACAUUGUGUGCUUUAAAAGAUAUUCAGUAAUUAUAAAAAAAAACAACAUGCAUACGAUCAUUAACUAUCAUUAGACUAUGACAAAAUGAAAUAAACACAAUAACGUGAAUGAACAGUAAAACAAUGAUGAAAAUAUUAUGGAGGUUGAUGAUAUGUGUUUAAUAGAACAUAGUUUUAAUUUAGAAUUAUGUAUAAGUAAUAGCCAUUUUAAGUUACAUUGUGUACAUAUACUUUUUUUACAUGUAAUAACUUGUAUUUUUGAAUUGGUCUAUUUAUAGCAUGGACAUUGUUUUUUUAAAUGUUAUAACAUGAAAAAAAUCACAACGUGUACACGACAGUAUGGUUAUUAAAUAUACUACAGUGUUGAGUAUAUUUUAUGUCUUCGAUGUCUUGUGUCCGUUAAACAUCGUAUAAGAAGAAGAUUCAUACUGAGCAAUCAAACAUAAUCUUACUAAAAGAAUAUAAUUGAACAAUCUGCAUGCAUUGAUCACCGAAGAUAAUUUUGAAGAAUAAAUUUAGAUAAGAUUUGCAAACAGAGAAAUGUUUAUUUGGAUGUAUAAUCGUAAUAUAAAAGACAAUAAUAUAAUACAACGCGUAACGUUUAAAAUGUUAUAUAGAUUUUCAUUUCUACAUUUAGAUAGUCUUAUUGACCAACCCUUCUUAUGACAUUUCGAGCCCGUACUUGACAACUAUUCAAUUCAAUAUUGAGUACGAUGGAACAUCAGCCCGAAACAUAUCAACCAGAGAAUAGAAGCUUACUUAAUCAUUAUAAGAGAAUAUACGGUGUAAGAUAAAACUAAACUCUCUUGAUAGUUAUCAUCACGAUCAUAUACAUUUUUGUAUUGUUUUUGAGCGCAGUAUCAUAAAUAUGUUAUUCUGUAGAAAAUGUUAUGACUACAAGAUCGCAAUCAACAAAAAAUAGUUCGAUUCUUCAAGAUGUAUCAAAUCCAUCUGGUACUACUACAGACAUUGAACACAAAAAUGGUAUGAUUAUAUCGUUCUAAUUUUAAACGGCAAGUUUUGUACAAAGUUUAAGCUCUUGAUUUUAUACCGACGAUCUUAUAUCUUAAAUAAGUUUCGUAGGCAACAGUUUUUUUUUAAUAAUAUAUCAAUGUAACAGAUUGCCAUAAUAUGUUCCAAUAAUGAAAGCCACCACAGAGGGGUCCCUUUGUGUCCGCGAGUUUUGCAUCAACGAAUUCAACUUUUCACUUGGAUAUUACUUUUUAUAAUAAUAUCAUGAGCCCGACAAUUUUGAUUCUUGUUGAAAUAGAAUCUGCUUAUACAUUGAGGGAAUCUAAGAUCUCCAUCUGGUUUAGGUUGAGUUCUUGUUACUCACAUGUCUGUGUAGUGUUUUAGAUACUGUUUAAAAUAUAUAUACAACAAUAAUUUGUAUGAUUGCUUAUGAUAUAUCUCUCCACCACAACAUGUUUUCCUUUUAGAGGCGUAUUCUGGAAAAUACUGGGAAACGAAGGUAAAAAGUCAAAAUGUCACAAUGUAAGAGGUAACAUUAAAACCGUUUAGAGAGGUGUUGCAAGGUUUCCGUAGCAGUCGAGAAUCAAACGAGCAGCUCUUCAUCAUGAAACAAAGAAUUUAACACAUCCAUUGCAUCCGGAAGUGACUAAUUAAUUUCACAUCCUUCCCUUUUUACAUGUUGUAACAUGUACAAAAUCAAAUCUUCUACACUAAUGUACCCCUAAUUUUGAUUUUUUUAUUCAUUAUGUCUGUUUGUUUUAUUCACGCAUCGUUAUCAAUAUGAUUGGAUUUGAUGCAACCGUCGUACAAGUGAAAGGUUUAACGCUAAAAGACUUGGUUUAAUCCAAUUUCUACAUAAAAAAAAAUUGCUUGUACUAAGUUAGGAGUGUGACAGUUGUAUUCUAUUCUUUUGAUUGAUUUGAGCUUUUGAUUUUGCCGUUUGUUUGGGGUCUUUCCGUUUUGAAUUUUCCUUGGAGUUCAGUAUUUUUUUAUUUCACUUUUUGAAGGGACGGCCAACUUAAGAAACUGCCAAAUCGAGAUAUUUCAAUCGAUGAGUUUAUUUUUAUACCUCUAUAACUCCUUGUUGCUGACAUAUAUUAUAAAUGAAAUAAAUAAGGAAAAUAAAGGGAAAUAAUUUUGAUUGAUAAGAAAUAUGUUAGACUAUUUGGGUUGGGUUGUUCUUAUGUUUCCUCAGUAACGGUCUCAACUGAGCAUACACUUAACGAAUGCGAAUGCUUGUCGUGUUUGUGCUUACACAUUCCGAACACGUAGAAAUUUGGUUAUAUUUUCAUCAAAAUCAACAUUUAUACAUGAAUAUUGUAUCAUUGGCCACUAAUGACAGAUCGAGUCGAUCAGUACCUGACAGUUGUUCAGAAUAAAGAACGAUUGAACAGCAAUCUGAAACAUAUCUCGAAUAUACUAAGUGUAGAAUCUCGUUUUAUGCUAAUACGUGUACAAACGGAAAAGGUACUAUGAUCAUGAUGUCUGUUAUUACAUUGAGAUUGUGCAACUAUUUUUUUGAGAACUGUAUUAUAGACAUGUGUUUCUGUAGUAUGACUUCGACUUGACAUAACAAGAAUUAAUCAAAUUCUUCCAGAUAUAUCAGUUCCAACUCAAACAACGACAGAAA